RNAcentral lists this ribosomal RNA (393 nucleotides) under uncultured bacterium. Its description in RNAcentral is "bacterial SSU rRNA". It matches the Rfam family "Bacterial small subunit ribosomal RNA", at positions 28 to 420 of the family's 1533-position model. The record is from RNAcentral.
AUUGAACGCUGGCGGCAUGCUUUACACAUGCAAGUCGAGCGGCAGCGCGGGGGCAACCCUGGCGGCGAGCGGCGAACGGGUGAGUAAUGCAUCGGAACGUACCCUGGAGUGGGGGGAUAACGCCGCGAAAGCGGCGCUAAUACCGCAUAUGCUCUGAGGAGGAAAGUGGGGGACCUGCAAGGGCCUCACGCUCUGGGAGCGGCCGAUGUCCGAUUAGCUAGUUGGUGGGGUAAAGGCUUACCAAGGCGACGAUCGGUAGCUGGUCUGAGAGGAUGAUCAGCCACACUGGGACUGAGACACGGCCCAGACUCCUACGGGAGGCAGCAGUGGGGAAUUUUGGACAAUGGGGGCAACCCUGAUCCAGCCAUGCCGCGUGAGUGAAGAAGGCCUCGG